ACGAAACCCUUCGCUCGAAGUGCGGGAACCCGGUGCGAGUCCGGGGCGGUUCCGCCACUGUGACACCCCCGGCGGGGUGCAGCCAGACACCGGCUCCGAGCGUUCCGACCAC
RNAcentral lists this non-coding RNA (112 nucleotides) under Nocardiopsis flavescens. Lineage: Bacteria; Bacillati; Actinomycetota; Actinomycetes; Streptosporangiales; Nocardiopsidaceae. The record is from RNAcentral.